Molecule: ribosomal RNA, 116 nt
Filed under: Chelonia mydas (Green sea turtle)
Lineage: Eukaryota; Metazoa; Chordata; Testudines; Cheloniidae
Source: RNAcentral
AUCUGCCCCCAGACCCCGAAUGUGCUCAAUCUUGUCUGAUCUUGGCAGCUAAGCCGGGUCAGGCCUGGUUAGUGCUUGUAUGGGAGACCUCCCAGGAACACCGGGUGGCCCUGAUU